AAGGAAUUUAGUGGCGGUCAAAUAGCAACAGUUUGCACCCAAACUGUCGCCGCCUACCCACUACAAAAAAAAAGAGGAUUAACGACACAAUGAUAAGGCGGUUUAGAACCGCUGUUGCAUGUUCCUAAGUAAAAUUUUCAUUCUCUCACUUAUAUAUUUUUGUGAUUCCCACAAGAAAGAAAGAACACGAGAAAGCGCUGAAAUCCUUCUUCUCCAAACUGUUGCCGUCUCAAAUCACGAUGUCUUCUCCAAAACCCUUUCAUCUCCAAAUCGUCUUCUGCAAACCAUCGUGAGAGUUCCAACUCGUCAUAUCUCCUGUUCAUCUCCGUCGUGACCGAGUUCGAGACACCGAUUGAUACAAAUCCCUUCGAUUUCUACACAUAGUUGCUUCCAAUCUCUUCGAUUUCGAAGCUCAAACCUUCAAUCUAUUUGAUUCGCAGCCCAAUCCUCCAAUCCCUUUGAUUGCGCUAAUCAGAUUGUAAGUACAAUUUUUUUUAAAAGUAAUUGAGAAUUCCAAUGUCAAAGAAAGAUAAAGAAUUUAAUGAGUUAUUUAGCUUGUGUGGUUUAUUUAACACUUAAAUCAAAUUUGAAGUACGUAUUUGAGUAGUCAUUUCCUUUCAUGUUGUGAGCUGUUAUGUCGUAUACAUGAGAUUGAGUUUAUUUAACAUAUUACUGCUCUGAGAAUAAUAUGAAUUUGUACUGAGCAUCUGCAAUGCAUGGGUGUUAAUUGUAGAACUUAUUGCAUGUAAAUAAGCAUAGACUGUGGAGCUGUUUCUUGGUUGGUAACUUGUUUAAUCAAAUACCCUGUAUUGCUACAUAUAAGGUAUAGAAUAGAAAGGAAAGUAAGGAGGGAAAUAGAGCCAUUGUAACUGAAAUAUAUAUCUAAUUAAUCUCGUCUAAUUGACUAACUAAUUCCUCUAAUUGUUCCUAACUGACAUCCACUCUUACUAACUACUCUUAAACAUUC
RNAcentral lists this long non-coding RNA (967 nucleotides) under Trifolium pratense (red clover). RNAcentral describes it as "long non-coding RNA (TPRA_LNC006963)". Lineage: Eukaryota; Viridiplantae; Streptophyta; Magnoliopsida; Fabales; Fabaceae. The record is from RNAcentral.